AUUGAACGCUGGCGGCAUGCCUUAGACAUGCAAGUCGAACGGCAGCACGGGAGCAAUCCUGGUGGCGAAUGGCGAACGGGUGAGUAAUAUAUCGGAACGUGCCCAGUCGUGGGGGAUAACGCAGCGAAAGCUGUGCUAAUACCGCAUACGAUCUAAGGAUGAAAGCGGGGGAUCGCAAGACCUCGCGCGAUUGGAGCGGCCGAUAUCAGAUUAGCUAGUUGGUGGGGUAAAGGCCCACCAAGGCGACGAUCUUUAGCUGGUCUGAGAGGACGACGAGCCAAACUGGAACUGAGACACGGUCCAGACUCCUACGGGAGGCAGAAGUGGGGAAUUUUGGACAAUGGGCGCAAGCCUGAUCCAGCAAUGCCGCGUGCAGGAUGAAGGCCUUCGGGUGGUAAACUGCUUUUGUACGGAACGAAACGGCCCUUUCUAAUACAGGGGGCUAAUGACGGUACCGUAAGAAUAAGCACCGGCUAACUACGUGCCAGCAGCCGCCGUAA
RNAcentral lists this ribosomal RNA (500 nucleotides) under uncultured bacterium. RNAcentral describes it as "partial 16S ribosomal RNA". It matches the Rfam family "Bacterial small subunit ribosomal RNA", at positions 30 to 523 of the family's 1533-position model. The record is from RNAcentral.